UGCCUUCGCGUGUUGCCCAUCCGUUGAUUUCUACAACGGAUGUGGUGUCAGAAAAGGCAUAAAUCAAAUCUUGGGUCGGCCUUAGCGGGUUUCCUCAAUGGUGGAGCUCGUCCUAAGUUCUAUACCAAGAACAUUA
This is a small nucleolar RNA of Fundulus heteroclitus (mummichog), 136 nucleotides long. RefSeq annotates it as small nucleolar RNA SNORA13. The transcript has a single exon. Lineage: Eukaryota; Metazoa; Chordata; Actinopteri; Cyprinodontiformes; Fundulidae. The record is from RefSeq and is a predicted model, not a curated record.